AUUUAAAUAGUUUAAAAAAACAUUAUAUUUUCAUUAUAAAAUUAGAGUUUCUCUUUUAAAUU
RNAcentral lists this transfer RNA (62 nucleotides) under Scolytoplatypus raja. RNAcentral's name for it is "tRNA-Glu". Lineage: Eukaryota; Metazoa; Arthropoda; Insecta; Coleoptera; Curculionidae. The record is from RNAcentral.